GGGGGCGUAAAGGUUUCGACGGGGAUUUUGAAGCAUGAUAAGCGAGUAGAGGAGCGCACCCUCUCUAAACGGCGUACGUUUUAAAAUUAGACGACAACGAUAAUUUUGAAUUAGCUGCUGCUUAAGUCAGCGCUCGUCUUGCCCUUGAGUACCACGGCUUGGGUAAAGGCGUCGAUUAGUGGUGAACGUCAUUGGGCGAAGGCUGUGACCCUUUGAUGUAUUACGGUCUACUGAUCUGUCGCGCGUGUCUGUUUGCGCGGCUUUGAGGGAAUGGGCAUUGCCGAAAUAACAGAAUACACUCGUAGAAAUUCGUGGGGAUAGGUUUUCGGACAGGGGUUCGACUCCCCUCGCCUCCAUAU
Molecule: non-coding RNA, 359 nt
Organism: Ruminococcus sp. CAG:579
Lineage: Bacteria; Bacillati; Bacillota; Clostridia; Eubacteriales; Oscillospiraceae
Rfam family: transfer-messenger RNA
About the family: Bacterial tmRNA, also known as 10Sa RNA or SsrA, is named for its dual tRNA and mRNA-like properties. Its role is to liberate the mRNA from a stalled ribosome. To accomplish this part of the tmRNA is used as a reading frame that ends in a translation stop signal.
Source: Rfam